This 572-nucleotide ribosomal RNA is filed under the name uncultured bacterium. Its description in RNAcentral is "partial 16S ribosomal RNA". It matches the Rfam family "Bacterial small subunit ribosomal RNA", at positions 355 to 920 of the family's 1533-position model. The record is from RNAcentral.
UGGGGAAUUUUGGACAAUGGGCGAAAGCCUGAUCCAGCAAUGCCGCGUGUGUGAAGAAGGCCUUCGGGUUGUAAAGCACUUUUGUCCGGAAAGAAAUCCUUGGCUCUAAUACAGUCGGGGGAUGACGGUACCGGAAGAAUAAGCACCGGCUAACUACGUGCCAGCAGCCGCGGUAAUACGUAGGGUGCAAGCGUUAAUCGGAAUUACUGGGCGUAAAGCGUGCGCAGGCGGUUUGCUAAGACCGAUGUGAAAUCCCCGGGCUCAACCUGGGAACUGCAUUGGUGACUGGCAGGCUAGAGUAUGGCAGAGGGGGGUAGAAUUCCACGUGUAGCAGUGAAAUGCGUAGAGAUGUGGAGGAAUACCGAUGGCGAAGGCAGCCCCCUGGGCCAAUACUGACGCUCAUGCACGAAAGCGUGGGGAGCAAAACAGGAUUAGAUACCCUGGUAGUCCACGCCCUAAACGAUGUCAACUAGUUGUUGGGGAUUCAUUCCUUAGUAACGUAGCUAACGCGUGAAGUUGACCGCCUGGGGAGUACGGUCGCAAGAUUAAAACUCAAAUGAAUUGACGGGGUC